Molecule: ribosomal RNA, 481 nt
Filed under: uncultured bacterium
Lineage: Bacteria
Description: bacterial SSU rRNA
Rfam family: Bacterial small subunit ribosomal RNA
Source: RNAcentral
GGCUCAGGACGAACGCUGGCGGCGUGCCUAACACAUGCAAGUCGAGCGAGGAGAUCCUUCGGGAUGAUCCUAGCGGCGGACGGGUGAGUAACACGUGGGCAACCUGCCUCAUAGAGAGGAAUAGCCUUCCGAAAGGGAGAUUAAUACCUCAUAACAUUGCAGUUUCGCAUGAAACAGCAAUUAAAGGAGCAAUCCGCUAUGAGAUGGGCCCGCGGCGCAUUAGCUAGUUGGUGAGGUAACGGCUCACCAAGGCGACGAUGCGUAGCCGACCUGAGAGGGUGAUCGGCCACAUUGGGACUGAGACACGGCCCAGACUCCUACGGGAGGCAGCAGGUGGGGAAUAUUGCACAAUGGGGGAAACCCUGAUGCAAGCAACGCCGCGUGAGUGAUGACGGCCUUCGGGUUGUAAAGCUCUGUCUUCAGGGACGAUAAUGACGGUACCUGAGGAGGAAGCCACGGCUAACUACGUGCCAGCAGCCGC